Long non-coding RNA from Lucilia cuprina (Australian sheep blowfly), 1234 nucleotides. RefSeq lists it as uncharacterized. The transcript is spliced from 2 exons. Lineage: Eukaryota; Metazoa; Arthropoda; Insecta; Diptera; Calliphoridae. The record is from RefSeq and is a predicted model, not a curated record.
AGUUUAUAUCAGUUGAUAUUAAACCGUUCGAUGGCGUGUGAUUUUUAAGCGGAUGAAAUCGAGUUUUUAGAAAAAACGAAAUGCAGUUUUGUGGAAUUGUUAUUGAAUGAAUUGAAUAUUGAACAAAAAAAAAAACAAAUAAUGCGUGUUAUGAAUUGUUGAAUAAAUGUUGUUGUUAGUGGUCGGUCGGUUGUCGUAAACGUCAUCAUUGAAGAAGUUUGUUAUGUUGUUGUUUUUUUAAGUUAGUAUAUAAUUUUUGUUGUUUUUUUAUUAUUUUUCCUGUGCUUGUGUGUGUUUUUUUUGUAUGUUUCUCUGUUUGUUUUUAUUUACCGCUUAAAGUUGUUGAACAACUAAUUUUAUUGUUUGAACGUCUGGGCCCUCAUCUACCCGCCUGCCCGUUCGUUAGUCUGUCACCUCGAUUUAAGCCACUUUUAAAUUUACAAGUUCUAAUCAGCAGCCUCUAUAUAUACUCUCUUACUCCCUGAAGAACGGGUCGGUCUGUCGUUAAAUGUGUGUGUUGUUCGUUGUUUUUGUACUUCGUGUUUAGUUGUCGUUUCACUGUUUACGAUUCUAUCCAAACGUGUGCUAAGCUAUUUGUGUGGGUUCGAGAAAAGUAUCUGUGUAUGAAUAUGCUUGAGUAUCUGUCUGUCUGUCUGUCUGGCUGGUUGAUAAUGUAUAUGCCGCCUUUUGUUUUUCAACACAACAAUCAACUCCAAUCAGUUUGUUUAUAACCGGUCUAUGAAUCAGUUUGUGUGCGUUUUGUGUUACGCUUUUUCAAGAGUAGAAAUUUCAUAUAUUUCUAUAAGAAUAUUAAACGAAAAUUUUGUUUUUAAAAUGAAAAUAUAAAAAAAUUUGUUUUAAGAUUUUUCGGGAAAAUUUCAAAAUUUUUUUUCCAUAUUUUUAAGAAUUUAUUUUUUGAAAUUUUAAAGUGUUUUAGUGUUGUAUUCUGAUUCGUUACAUUAGUUAUUUAAAUCCCUAAAGUUAUCGGGAUUCAUCCAAAGAAUACAAAUUAUGAAAUUAAGCUGUUUUUAGCUGCAAUAAAUUGAAGAAGCAAUGCGAAAUGUUUAAGAAUAAUGAGUCUUGUAUAAAAGUUAUGUGAAAAUGAAUCUCAGUGUGUAAAAAGAAAUAAUAAAUAUUUUAUUAAUUUAUCUCCCCUUAAACCCAAAAAAAACUUAUAAAAAUGUAAUUUGUGAACAUGUUGUAAUAAAUAAAGCUCUAUAUUGAUACUUUUGGA